AUGAAGUGCUUUGAAUGGCUAGUCAUGCACCACAUCAAGUCUGCCCUCCCACAUUCUGGGGACCCAUUCCAGUUUGCAUAUAGGUCCAACCGGUCGACCAAUGAUGACAUCACUACUGCCAUCCACUCAGCACUCACACGUCUAGAGAAAAAAGACUCAUACGUCAGAAUGCUGUUCAUAGAUUUCAGUUCAGCAUUCAACACAAUCAUCCCUCAACAGCUCAUUCACAAACUGGUCGAGCUGGGGCUCAACACUUCGCUGUGCAACUGGCUGUUGGACUUUCUGACUGGAAGACCUCAGGCAGUACGGGUCAGCAGCAACACAUCCAGCACCAUCACAAUGAACACUGGGCCCCCCCAAGGAUGUGUGCUCUUCACUCUGCUGACCCACGACUGCACACCAUCACAGAACUCCAACCUCUUCAUUAAGUUUGCGGAUGACACGACUGUGGUGGGUCUCAUUAACAACAAGGAUGAGACAAACUACAGGAGCGAGGUGAGCCGCCUGGCAGGGUGGUGCAGUGACAACAAUCUCUCUCUGAACGUGGAGAAGACGAAGGAGAUUGUUGUUGACUUCAGGAGAGCGCACACUCAGCACAAUCACACUGAACACUGGGGCCCCCCAAAGAUAUGUGCUGUGCCCCCUUCACUCUUCACUCUUCACUCUGCUGACCCACGACUGCACACCGUCACACAACUCUAACCUCUUUAUUAAGUUUGCGGAUGACACAACUGUGGUGGGUCUCAUUAGCAACAGAGAUGAGACAAACUACAGGAGCGAGGUGAGCCGCCUGGCCGGCUUUUAUUGUUGCGGAAUGUGGAGAAGACAAAGGAGAUUGACGUUGACUUUAGGAGAGUGCACACUCAGUAUGCUCCUCUGACCCUCAACGGUGCAACUGUGGAGAGGGUGAGCAGCACCAAGUUACUGUGUGUGCACAUCACAGAGGACCUUUCCUUGACCAACAACACCGCAGCACUGGCCAAGAAAGCACAGCAGUGUCCUUACUUCCUCCGCAAACUGAGAAGAGCCAGAGCCCCAGCCCCCAUCAUGUGCACCUUCUACAGAGGCACUAUCGAGAGCAUCCUGACUAGCUGCAUCCCUGUGUGGUAUGGCGCCUGCCAUGCGUCCUGCUGGAAGACCCUUCAAUGCAUAGUGAGAGCAGCUGAGAAGAUCGUUGGUGUCUCCCUCCCCUCCCUCCAGGACAUUUACGGAACCCGUCUCACCCGUAAAGCCCUCUGCAUUGCAGGUGAUCCUACCCACCCAGGCCAGAACCAGCAGACUGAAGGACAGCUUCAUUGAUCAGGCUGUCAGGAAGCUGAACUGCCUCCCAACAUUGCCUCCCCCCUUUUCCCCUAUGCAUCACUGAAAUCUGAACCUCAGCCCCCAUACCCCCCCCCCCCCCAGCUCCCACUAACACACUGGGACCUGCACCAGACACUUUGUGCAGCACUGGUCUGCUCACUACCUCAUUCGGCAUUUAACUGACCUCAUUCAACUACAUCUUCUGUCAGUUUAAAUAAAGAACUGCUCUCUGAGAUUUUUGACACUUUAAUCAGACUGAAUAAGCUCUUUGCACUACAAUCAUUAUAUCUGCACUGUUUGUUUUCUUCACUGGUUUGCACUCUCAAUGGUUUGCAAUCUGCAAUGUGCCUUGUGCUGCUUUAGUUAUCUUUCUUUUUUCAUGACCUAUUUGUAUAUUUGUAUAGUUGUACUUUAUAUUUUAUCUGUAUUUAAUGUUCUACUGUUAGUGUUAUCUGUAUGCACCAAGGGUCUGAGAGUAACGCAAUUUCUAUUAUCUGUAUGUAUGUACUGUACAUGUGGAAGAAUUGACAAUAAAGCAGACUUGACUUGACUUGACUAACAAGAUGCCCCGUUGAAUUCAUUUUGGGAGCGAUGACUGAUUGAAUGUAUUUUUAGUCCAGUGUCUGUAUAUAAGAUUAGUACUGACCAAGUUCAGAGCCUGUCAUAUGUGGAUCAACUUACUAUGUCAUGUAUUUUCAACCGUUUCAAUAUGAAAAAUUACUUUUAUAUUGAUUCAGUGAAAAAUAAAAAGUGUCAUGGAUUUAUUUCAUUUUGGGAAAAAAAAUAAUACAAUUUCAUAAUAAAUCUUUGAAAAUCAAAAUCUGGAUUUGAUUUUUUUUUAUGCUAUUAUAACCUAAAGAUGCUAUGUGAAAGUUUGAAACAGAAAAUAAUGGUUUUCAUCUUGCCACUUUAUUGAUAAAAAACAAAAACAAAACUUUUUUACUCAAAUUGAUCAAAAUGGAUUUAUUGCGUUUUGGAACCAAACUCUUCAUAUAUAUAUAUAUAUAUAUAUAUAUAUAUAUAUAUAUAUAUAUAUAUAUAUAUAUAUAUAUUUUUAUAUACACAUCCAUAAUAAUAUUAAUAUCCAAUAUAAUUGGAGCCAGUCUACUUUCACUUAUCACCUUCAAUCCAGUCAUCCAUUUUCCAAGAUGCUUAUCAUGGGUGCUGGAACUUUUCCCAUCAUCUCUGGUCAUAGGCAGGGACACACUCUGGACAGAUGGCCAGUCCAUCAAGGGGCUAACAUACAUACACACAUUCACAAUCUCACUCAUUCCUACAGACAAUUUGGAGCAACCAAGUAAAAUCCUCACCUGCAUGGAGAAAACAUGCAAACUUCCCACAGAAAGGCUUCUGGCACAAACGGGAACUGCCCGCUAUACC
Cyprinus carpio carpio is the source of this 2682-nucleotide long non-coding RNA. The record is from Ensembl. Lineage: Eukaryota; Metazoa; Chordata; Actinopteri; Cypriniformes; Cyprinidae.